This 366-nucleotide long non-coding RNA is filed under the name Coffea arabica (coffee). RNAcentral's name for it is "long non-coding RNA (CARA_LNC002518)". The record is from RNAcentral. Lineage: Eukaryota; Viridiplantae; Streptophyta; Magnoliopsida; Gentianales; Rubiaceae.
AUAUAAUUCAAAAAUGUGUUUAAAAUGUAAGCAAAUAAAUUUGUACAAAUUUGCUCUGGUAUCUGGCGUCAAAAUUAAUUGUGUGUACCUAAAACAUAAAAAAAAAGGAAAAAUGGUAAAUUUACGCUCAAAUUAGCUUCAUUUACUUCCUUCUCAUACUUCCACAAUUGAAGUGACUUAAAUUUCAAAUAAUUUUGUUUAAAAUUUCGUAUGAGCAGAUUAUAUUUACUUGUGCACACUUGUGGGUUCUUUACUCAUUUUGAUCGUAAAAACAAAUAUAAAUAAGGAGUGAAGGAGGCUACAAAUACAAGUAAUGGAGUUCUCAAACAAGUACUGUCCUCCGCUCCUUCGUGGAAUAGGGUGGUC